This 686-nucleotide ribosomal RNA is filed under the name uncultured Actinomycetes bacterium. Its description in RNAcentral is "bacterial SSU rRNA". It matches the Rfam family "Bacterial small subunit ribosomal RNA", at positions 68 to 768 of the family's 1533-position model. The record is from RNAcentral. Lineage: Bacteria; Bacillati; Actinomycetota; Actinomycetes.
UCCAUCCACUCGCAAGAGUGGUGAAGACCUAGUGGCGAACGGGUGAGUAACACGUGAGAAACCUGCCCCGAAGACCGGGAUAACUCACCGAAAGGUGAGCUAAUACCGGAUGCCUUCACGACGUCUCAUAGCGAUGUGAAGAAAUGGAUUCCGCUUCGGGAGGGUCUCGCGGCCUAUCAGCUUGUUGGUGAGGUAACGGCUCACCAAGGCGACGACGGGUAGCUGUUCUGAGAGGAAGAUCAGCCACACUGGGACUGAGACACGGCCCAGACUCCUACGGGAGGCAGCAGUGGGGAAUCUUGCGCAAUGGGCGAAAGCCUGACGCAGCGAUGCCGCGUGCGGGAAGACGGCCUUCGGGUUGUAAACCGCUUUCAGCAGGGACGAAAUUGACGGUACCUGCAGAAGAAGCUCCGGCCAACUACGUGCCAGCAGCCGCGGUAAGACGUAGGGGGCGAGCGUUGUCCGGAAUUAUUGGGCGUAAAGGGCUCCUAGGCGGUUCAGUAAGUCGACUGUGAAAAUCUAAGGCUCAACCUUGGGACGCCAGUCGAUACUGCUGUGACUCGAGUUCGGUAGAGGAGUGUGGAAUUCCUGGUGUAGCGGUGAAAUGCGCAGAUAUCAGGAGGACACCAACGGCGAAGGCAGCACUCUGGGCCGAUACUGACGCUGAAGAGCGAAAGCGUGGGGAG